AAAAAUGAUGGGUAAAUUUUGGGGUAUGACAGCUGCCCCUGUUCAAUAUUCUUGAACCGAGAGAGUUAGGAUGGCGUGUAUGCCAUUCGUGGUCUGGAGGUGGAAGAUUAUUGAACACUAGAAUGCCCCAAAAAUUUGCACUUGAGAAUCGACAGUUGGUCUUGAUGGAGAUGGGCUUAAAGAUGCCAUCCGGGAGUGUUGAUGACGAAAGCUUCAGAUCGAGCCGUACAUUAGGCCAAUUUGAAGACAUGGGUGCCACACUGGGUCGUACAUUAGACCGAAUAAUGAGUCAUCCAUUAGGCUGCC
This 306-nucleotide long non-coding RNA is filed under the name Lathyrus oleraceus (garden pea). RNAcentral's name for it is "Pisum sativum (pea) long non-coding RNA (PSAT_LNC030259)". The record is from RNAcentral. Lineage: Eukaryota; Viridiplantae; Streptophyta; Magnoliopsida; Fabales; Fabaceae.